RNAcentral lists this ribosomal RNA (431 nucleotides) under uncultured bacterium. RNAcentral's name for it is "partial 16S ribosomal RNA". It matches the Rfam family "Bacterial small subunit ribosomal RNA", at positions 29 to 507 of the family's 1533-position model. The record is from RNAcentral.
AACGAACGCUGGCGGCAGGCUUAACACAUGCAAGUCGAACGCCCCGCAAGGGGAGUGGCAGACGGGUGAGUAACGCGUGGGAAUCUACCCAUCCCUACGGAAUAACGCAUGGAAACGUGUGCUAAUACCGUAUACGCCCUACGGGGGAAAGAUUUAUCGGGGAUGGAUGAGCCCGCGUUGGAUUAGCUAGUUGGUAGGGUAAAGGCCUACCAAGGCGACGAUCCAUAGCUGGUCUGAGAGGAUGAUCAGCCACAUUGGGACUGAGACACGGCCCAAACUCCUACGGGAGGCAGCAGUGGGGAAUAUUGGACAAUGGGCGCAAGCCUGAUCCAGCCAUGCCGCGUGAGUGAUGAAGGCCUUAGGGUUGUAAAGCUCUUUCACCGGAGAAGAUAAUGACGGUAUCCGGAGAAGAAGCCCCGGCUAACUUCGUG